AAAAUAGAAUAGAGUCUCUCUCUCUCUCUCUCUCUCUCUCUCUCUCUCUCUCUCUCUCUCUCUCACACACACACACACACACACACACACACACACAGAGAGAGAGAGAGAGAGAGGAGACAGAGAGAGACAGAGAGAGACAGAGAGACAGAGA
Molecule: microRNA precursor, 154 nt
Filed under: Marmota monax (woodchuck)
Lineage: Eukaryota; Metazoa; Chordata; Mammalia; Rodentia; Sciuridae
Source: RNAcentral